This 721-nucleotide long non-coding RNA is filed under the name Monodelphis domestica (gray short-tailed opossum). Its description in RNAcentral is "lncRNA (ENSMODG00000037801.1)". The record is from RNAcentral. Lineage: Eukaryota; Metazoa; Chordata; Mammalia; Didelphimorphia; Didelphidae.
UGCUAUCUUUAAGAAAAGUAUCCUUAUUAACUUUCUGUUUAUUUUUCUAUUUUCUGUUAUCCUCCAGGGCACCUGGGCUGCAUAUGCAAAUUGAUCUAAGCUGCUUCUCAAAAGAACUUCCUCCAAGUAAGAAAAAAAGACAGACCAAGAUGUCAACCUUAUUGUGAAAGUAAAGAUUUAUAUCCUCACUACCUGAAAAAGGAAAACCUUUUCUGACUUUAAACUCUAUCAGAAGGCCACUACUAUAAAGGGGAGACAGGCAUUUAUUUUGUUGAUUGUUGAAUAAUCUUCAAGUGUUAAACCUUUCAAAAGAGAAAAAAGAACAUCAGUGCUAUAGGCUCCAGUGAUUUAGCACCUUGGAAAUUUCCCCAGCCUUUGUAAAAGUCAUUCUUCAAUUCUCUAUUAGCUCAGCUAAGACUGUUAUCAAAUUUUUCACAUUUUACUGGAUACUGGUAAAGGACUGUUUCCUGGUAUUGCUUGAGAAUGGAUAUAAGAUUUUGGCACUACUUCAAGGAAAGUUAUCCCUGGAAAACCUCUACUCCAAAAAACAGAUGGCUAGGAGAAGAAGAAUAAGAUUUUAAAAUGGCUUAAAGUGGCUCGAAUUUUUCAGGACAUCAACUGGAAGCUUUUUUAUGAUAAAAGAAAAGGAGGCUGAGUAAUGAAUAUCCAUUUUUUCUUUUUUUUAACCUUUUUCAUUAAAACCACAAAUUUAUCACCUCAA